Molecule: transfer RNA, 65 nt
Filed under: Achalinus meiguensis (Sichuan odd-scaled snake)
Lineage: Eukaryota; Metazoa; Chordata; Lepidosauria; Squamata; Xenodermidae
Description: tRNA-Thr
Rfam family: tRNA
About the family: Transfer RNA (tRNA) molecules are approximately 80 nucleotides in length. Their secondary structure includes four short double-helical elements and three loops (D, anti-codon, and T loops).
Source: RNAcentral
GCUCUAAUAGCUUAACAAUAAAGCAUUGUUUUUGUAAACCAAAGCUGGGCCACCCCCUUAGAGCA